Molecule: ribosomal RNA, 494 nt
Filed under: uncultured bacterium
Lineage: Bacteria
Description: partial 16S ribosomal RNA
Rfam family: Bacterial small subunit ribosomal RNA
Source: RNAcentral
GACGAACGCUGGCGGCGCGCUUAACACAUGCAAGUCGAACGGAAAGGCCUGCUUUCCCUUGUGGAUUGCGGGUACUCGAGUGGCGAACGGGUGAGUAACACGUGAGUGAUCUGCCCCCAACUUGGGUAUAAGCCUGGGAAACUGGGUCUAAUUCCCGAUAGGACUGCAGGGUGGUGCCUGUGGUGGAAAACGAUUUUCUAGUGGUUGGGGAUGAGCUCGCGGCCUAUCAGCUUGUUGGUGGGGUAAUGGCCUACCAAGGCGGCGACGGGUAGCCGGCCUGAGAGGGGGGACGGCCACAGUGGGACUGAGAUACGGCCCAGACUCCUACGGGAGGCAGCAGUGGGGAAGAUUGCACAAUGGGCGGAAGCCUGAUGCAGCGACGCCGCGUGGGGGAUGACGGCCUUCGGGUUGUAAACUCCUUUCGACCGCGAGGAAGCCACCUGGUUGGAAGGGUGGUGACGGUAGUGGUAGAAGAAGCACCGGCUAACUACGUG